GCCUGGGUGGCUCAGUCUGUUGAGCAUCUGACUUUGGCUCAGGUCAUGAUCUCAUGGUUCGUGAGUUUGAGCCCCGCAUCGGGCU
This is a transfer RNA of Felis catus (domestic cat), 85 nucleotides long. It matches the Rfam family "tRNA". Rfam says of the family: Transfer RNA (tRNA) molecules are approximately 80 nucleotides in length. Their secondary structure includes four short double-helical elements and three loops (D, anti-codon, and T loops). The record is from Rfam. Lineage: Eukaryota; Metazoa; Chordata; Mammalia; Carnivora; Felidae.